Molecule: long non-coding RNA, 435 nt
Filed under: Ananas comosus (pineapple)
Lineage: Eukaryota; Viridiplantae; Streptophyta; Magnoliopsida; Poales; Bromeliaceae
Description: long non-coding RNA (ACOM_LNC001913)
Source: RNAcentral
GUUCCUGCGGUCAAUAUCCGUUAGUGAACUGUUUAUUUUUUAACAGUUGAAGCGUGAAAUGACAUUUUUGCCCUUGCAAAUAUAUCCCUCCAAAAGCCCUAACUGAUAAACAUUUGCAAAAAUACCCUCGCAAAAAUGCCAACGGUCAUUUUUGUUCUUUAUAAGUGAAAUGUCCAUUUUGCCCUCACAAAUAUAUCCCUCCAAAAUCCAAAGUAAUAAAGUUGUACAGAAAUGUCCCCAAAAAUGACCCUAACGGUCAUCUUCUUCCUCUAUAAAUUCAUCACUCCAUUGCAACAUAUCAUAUAACUCUUUUUUUGCUCUUUUCUUCUUUAUUGAUCCACUAUUUUCCUUCUUCUCUCAUUUUGAUCUGUUAAAUCACAGCAAUUUUAUUUUUCGAAUUUUUUUUCUUUUCUAAUAUUUUUAUAAUGAGUGAAA